GUUUUCGGAUGGAUUGGUAACAACUUAGUGGCGGACGGGUGAGUAACGCGUGGGUAACCUGCCUCAUACUGGGGGAUAACAGCUGGAAACGGCUGCUAAAACCGCAUAAGAUCGCAUCACCGCAUGGUGAAGCGGUUAAAUAUCGAAAGAUAGGUAUGAGAUGGGCCCGCGUCUGAUUAGCUAGUUGGUGAGAUAAGAGCCCACCAAGGCGACGAUCAGUAGCCGGCUUGAGAGAGUGACCGGCCACAUUGGGACUGAGACACGGCCCAAACUCCUACGGGAGGCAGCAGUGGGGAAUAUUGCACAAUGGGGGAAACCCUGAUGCAGCGACGCCGCGUGAGUGAAGAAGUGCUUCGGCAUGUAAAGCUCUAUCAGCAGGGAAGAAGAUGACGGUACCUGACUAAGAAGCCCCGGCUAACUACGUGCCAGCAGCCGCGGUAAUACGUAGGGGGCAAGCGUUAUCCGGAUUUACUGGGUGUAAAGGGAGCGUA
Molecule: ribosomal RNA, 491 nt
Filed under: uncultured bacterium
Lineage: Bacteria
Description: bacterial SSU rRNA
Rfam family: Bacterial small subunit ribosomal RNA
Source: RNAcentral